GUGGGGAAUCUUAGACAAUGGGCGCAAGCCUGAUCUAGCCAUGCCGCGUGAUCGAUGAAGGCCUUAGGGUUGUAAAGAUCUUUCAGUGGGGAAGAUAAUGACUGUACCCACAGAAGAAGCCCCGGCUAACUCCGUGCCAGCAGCAGCGGUAAUACGGAGGGGGCUAGCGUUGUUCGGAAUUACUGGGCGUAAAGCGCACGUAGGCGGAAUAGAAAGUCAGAGGUGAAAUCGCAGGGCUCAACCUUGGAACUGCAUUUGAAACUCCUGUUCUUGAGUUCGAGAGAGGUGAGUGGAAUUCCGAGUGUAGAGGUGAAAUUCGUAGAUAUUAGGAAGAACACCAGUGGCGAAGGCGGCUCACUGGUCUGGUACUGACGCUGAGGUGCGAAAGCGUGGGGAGCAAACAGGAUUAGAAACCCCUGUAGUCC
RNAcentral lists this ribosomal RNA (425 nucleotides) under uncultured bacterium. RNAcentral's name for it is "partial 16S ribosomal RNA". It matches the Rfam family "Bacterial small subunit ribosomal RNA", at positions 354 to 796 of the family's 1533-position model. The record is from RNAcentral.